This 484-nucleotide ribosomal RNA is filed under the name uncultured bacterium. Its description in RNAcentral is "partial 16S ribosomal RNA". It matches the Rfam family "Bacterial small subunit ribosomal RNA", at positions 28 to 507 of the family's 1533-position model. The record is from RNAcentral.
GUUGAACGCUGGCGGCAUGCCUAACACAUGCAAGUCGAGCGGAUGAAGGGUGCUUGCUCCUGGUUUCAGCGUCGCACGGGUGAGUAAUGCCUAUGAGUCUCCCUGGUUUUGCUUUAUAACGUCCGGAGACGGGCGCUGAUACUGCAUGCGUCCUGAGCGUGAAGCUGGGUGAUCUUCGGACCGCACGCUAUCAUGUGAGCCUAGGUCGGGUUAGCUAGUUGGUGGGGUAAAGGACUGCCAAGGCGACGAUCCGUAACUGGUCUGAGAGGAUGAGCAGUCACACUGGAAGGGAGACAAGGCACAGAGUCCUACGGGAGGCAGCAGUGGGGAAUAUUGGACAAGGGGCGAAAGACUGAUCCAGCCAUGCCGAGUGUGUGAAGAAGGUCGUCGGAUUGGAAAGCACUUUAAGUGGGGAGGAAGGGCAGUAAGUUAAUACCUAGCUGUUAUGACGUUAACAACAGAAUAAGCAACGGCUAAAUUCGUG